CAAUUAGGCACUUUUUAUUGCCCACGCUGUCAUAAUCCUCAGAGCUUGGCUAGGAUGAAGGAGAGGAAAUAGGAUAGGAUGGAAUUCCAAGAUGCCUUUAGAGUUCAUCCCAGCCAUUCCCCUGCUUCUAGAUGGGAAAGUUCAAAUACCAUCCACAAGAACUUUCCUCCAAGUGAGGCCCUUAGCCCUGGAAGUCAAUAGGCCUUUGCAUCUAUUGCAUCUAACAAGAAUCCUUCAACCUCAUAGAGGGGUUUUCUCCUGUCCUUUGCUCCAGCGACUCAGGGAAGAGGAAUCUUAUUUGUGUUUUUUCCCAGGACACGGUGGGUGGGGAGCUAGGCUCAUGCAGUCGUGAAGACCUCUGGUACCACCUGGAUGGUGGCAUUAGGGAUCAGGGAACUACUGAUUUUUCAAGUGCAAUCUGACUCCUCUCUCAGACUAGCAAUUCCCAGAGGACAGAGGUCUUGUCUCCUCCCUCAGACUGAAAGCUCCUGGAGAAACUGCCUUCCCUCACUUCCCUCUCUUGUCCCCUGCCCCUUCUCUCAGUUGCCCAGCGCAGAGCUUUGUCCACAGAGGGCCACUCCUGCUGUGCAUAGAACCUUGACUGUGUCGGUGACUCAGAGGGGGUUGCAAUCUGAUUGGGAAGUGCUACCGUGGUCUGUCGGUGCCUCCAUUUCCUCUUGUGUAGAAUGGAGUUGUAAUGAAGAUUAAAAAUUUUUUUUUUUUUUGAGAUGGAGUCUCGCUCUGUUGCCCAGGCUGAAGUGCAGUGGUGCGAUCUCGGCUCACUGCAAGCUCCACCUCCCGGGUUCACGCCAUUCUCCUGCCUCAGCCUCCCGAGUAGCUGGGACUGCAGGCGCCCGCCACCACGCCCGGCUAAUUUUUUGUAUUUUUAGUAGAGACGGGGUUUCACCAUGAUAGCCAGGAUGGUCUUGAUCUCCUGACCUCGUGAUUCGCCUGCCUCAGCCUUCCAAAGUGCUGGGAUUACAGGUGUGAGCCACCACGCCCAGCCAUGAAGAUUAAAUUUUUAAAAAGCAUGUGCCUGGCUCGUGGUAAGGGCUCAGUAAAUGAGAGCUUUUAUUGCCUUCAGGACAGCUGGCGCCCCUCCUAGCUUUCUGCUUAUCAGAAAUCAGGAUGGGGAGAUCCAGCAGCCUAAGCUUAGAAAGGUAGCCUUCAAAAUGAGAAUCACAGAAGCCAGCCAGCCUAGCAGCCCUAUGCGGGUCUCGGGCUGAGACCCUGGUGGACAAGUGAAGUCCAUUAUCUCCAGGAGGUAGCAAGGAGAUCAGUAGUCAGCAUGGGCAACCUCAGAGAUCUUCAGCAGACAGGAUGGCAACGAAGAUGGAUUUCAAGUUAGGACCCAACUGCCAAGGCAGGGCAGAGCAGACAAGGGAGAGUACAUUUCGUUGCUUCAUAACACCUGGGAGGGGUAUGGUGGUUCCUUUUCCAGGGUGGUGGUGGUCUUAAACCUAAAAGAGAUGUUCAUCAGCAUGCUGGGGGGUUGGGGCAGAGGCUGGGGGAGGGAUGCAGUGACUUUUCCAAGAUCACGGAUUCCAUAAUCACCUGAAAGAAGGGGAAGGGACAGAGAGAGGUGAAAAACACACCCAGGCUGAGCAAACAUCCACCUUCCCUGUCUUUUUUUUUUUUUUUUCUUUUUCUGAGGCUGAGUUUCACUCAGUCGCCGAGGCUGGAGUGCAGUGGCAUGAUCUCAGCUCACUGCAAUCUCCACCUCCUGGGUUCAAGCAAUUUUCUUGCCUCAGCCUCCCGAGCAGCUGGGAUUACAGGCGCACGCCACUAUGCUGGCUAAUUUUUUGUGUUUUUACUAGAGACGGGGUUUCACCAUGUUGGCCAGGCUGGUCUCGAACUCCUGACCUCAUGUGAUCCGUCCGCCUCGGCCUCCCAAAGUGCUGGGAUUACAGAUGUGAGCCAACGCACCCGGCUACACCUUCCCUGUCAUGGGCAGACAUACACCCCUGGGUUCAGAGUGUGUUCGUGCAUGGAUGGAUUCAGGGCACAGAAGGGGACCUAGAGGUUAGCAGCUGCUGUGAGGAAAAGGAGACAUUGUCUCCCCAGUUGGUUCUGUCCUGAGUAAGCACCCUGGAUGAGGCUGAGCAGGUGACACCUGGCAUGGAGCCAGGCCCUCAGGCGAGCAGGGUGGGCAAGUGGGAGGAGGGGAAGUGCAACAGGACUUUAUAAGAGAUGAGGCGGACCCCUGCAGCCUUCUGCCUUGGGCCUCCAAGGAAGGAGCAAGUGCGAAUGGGGAGGUGGGGCAGGAGGAGGGAUUCUGAAGCUCUCUGGAAAAUCCCUAGUGUGGGGGAGAAUAACUCACUCUUCUUUUUCUCAGCAUGGACUUAAUAAGUCAUGUCCCAGCCUGGGCAACAUAGCAAGACCCUGUCUCUACAAAAAAAAAAUAUAAAAAUUAUCUGGUGUGGUGGCACGUGCUUCUAGUCCUAGCUACUCAGAAGACUGAGGCUGGAGGAUCGCUUGAGCCCAGGAGUUUGAGGAUGCAGUGAGCUAUGGUCAUACCACUGCACUGCAGCCUGAGCAACAGAGUGAGAUCCCAACUCAAUAAAUAAAUAAAUAAAAUAAAAUCAUGUUCACUGCUAAAUAUAUACAAUUGUAAUUGGCCAACUAAACAAAAAAUAAGCUGGGCGCAGUGGCUCACGCCUCUAAUCCUGGCACUUUAGGAGGCUGAGGUGGGAGGAUCACUUGAACUCAGGAGUUCAAGACCAGCCUGGGCAACACAGGAUGACCCCAUCUUUACAUUUUUUUUUUUUAAACUAGCUGGGUGUGGUGGUGUGCGCUUGUAGUACCAGCUAUUUGGAUGGCUGAGAUGGGAGGAUUGUUUGAGCCCUGGAGGUUGAGGCUGCAGUGAGCUGGGAUCACACCACUGCACUCCAGCCUGGGUGACAGAGAGAGACCCUGUCUCAAAACAAAC
Molecule: long non-coding RNA, 2929 nt
Filed under: Pan troglodytes (chimpanzee)
Lineage: Eukaryota; Metazoa; Chordata; Mammalia; Primates; Hominidae
Description: lincRNA
Source: RNAcentral